UUUAAGACUAUCUGAUUUUUUAUGGCAUAAAAAUACUGUCCAACAAUUGAGGAAAAAUACCAAAUAUUUCUAAGAUGAGAUCUAUUAAUUUAUAAAAUUAUUUUGUAUCAUAUGUUACUUAGAGAAUUUUGAAGUUCUUUAAUUGAUACAAAUAUAAACUUUCUUUCAAAAAUUAAAUUUUUAAGAGAACUUCAAAAUUCUCUAAGUAACAUAUGAUACAAAAUAAUUUUAGUAAUUAGUAAAUACAUCUUAGGAAUAUUAGGUAUUUUUUUCUCAAUUUUUUGAUAGUAUUUGUGUGCCAUGAAAAGUUAGAUAGUCUUAAAA
This 324-nucleotide long non-coding RNA is filed under the name Setaria viridis. Its description in RNAcentral is "long non-coding RNA (SVIR_LNC004624)". Lineage: Eukaryota; Viridiplantae; Streptophyta; Magnoliopsida; Poales; Poaceae. The record is from RNAcentral.